CGGUGUGGGGACACGUAGCUGGUGGGAUCGCGCCAUGGCCUGGGCCCCUCUGCUCCUCGUGGUGCUCGCCCACGGCUCAGGUUCCCUGGUCCAGGCAGCACUGACUCAGCAGCCGGCCUCGGUGUCCGUGUCCCCGGGAGAAACUGCCCGCAUCACCUGCUCUGGGGGUGACAGUGACAACUGGGGCAGCAGCAACUAUGGCUGGAUCCAGCAGAAACCUGGUGGUGCCCCGGUCACUGUGAUAUAUGAGAACAACAAGAGACCCUCGAAUGUCCCUGCGCGAUUCUCCGGUUCCAAGUCCGGCUCCACGGCCACGUUAACCAUCACUGGGGUGCAAGCCGAGGACGAGGCCGUGUAUUACUGUGGUAGCUGGCCCAGCGGCAGUGGUGCUCUCAUGGGGACACUGAGCAUUGGGGAAGUGAGGGUCCCUGGUCCAGGCAGGGCUGACUCAGCUGGCAUUGGUGUCUGUGUCCCCGGGAUAAACUGCCCGGAGGAUCUGCUCUGGGGGUAGCAGUGCUUCUGGAUAGUUCCAGCAGAAAUGUGGUGGGAUCCUGCAGGAAGACUGUGAUUUAUGGGCAGAGCAGGAGAUACUCCGGCAUCUCUGCGUGAUUCUCCAGUUCCACAUCUGGCUCCACAUCCACGUUAGCCAUCCCUGGGGUCCAAGCUGAAGACGCGGCUGAGUAUUACUGUGGCAGCCAGGACAGCAGGGCUGAGCAUGGUCAAGGUGUCCCCUGGGGUGGCGGCAGGUGGCUGUGGGGGAGGUUGGUGCUGCCGGGUGCCAUUGUUCAGUGACAACUAACACGGGUGUCCUGCAGCUUCCGGGGGCCAUUUUGCAGGCACUGGUGAGCCAGGAGGCCUCGGCCUCGGUGACAGCCAGCGGGCGCAUCGCUCUGUCCUGCAGCCUGAGCACAGGUCUGUCAUGUCUGGCAAGUAGGCAGACUGCAUGCAGAGGAAUGUGGCCCUUUCCCCAAAGGUGUGAGCUACAGAGCUAGCGACUGACCCUCAAGGGGCCCAGGGCAGUUCUCGGAGUCCCUCUGGGGCAGCGUGGGCAUGCUGACCAUCGCACGGGCCCGGGGGGAGGACGAGGCUGGCUAUUACUGCGCUCCGUGGGCUCGUAGUGCACAGCACACUGGUGGGGGCACUCAGGCAAGUGGGGCAAAACCUGCCUGUCCUGGCUGCUCCCUGCUGCUGGGGCCAGGCCUUGCUCAGGGGAAGCCCUGCAGGGCGCUGUGGAGCAGUAGUGCCGUGUCCUUCCCUCGUGCCGAUGUUCCCGGAGACUUGCUCCUUCUGUGGAGGCCCCUGUCAGGGUUUCCAGCCCGAGGUGCCUUUGUGCAGCCUCCGUACAGCAGCGUGAGCUGGGGACUGUUGGGUCCAGCGUUGGGAACGACCGCCCAGCGCUGGCAGGCGAGGUGCUGCUUUCUGCGCCUUCAGCGGGCCGAGUUGCUUGAGUUCACGAAGCCUCGAAGCAUAUUUGCAUCUGCUUAGAGCUUCUCAGCUUGUCAGCACCCCUUCUCGUUGUUUCUCUUUCCGCUUCAGUCUAACGGGGUGGAGGCCACGAGAGGGGGCUGCAGCAGCACCUUGGACUGUGAAUCAGGCAGGGCGCUCCAGCUGCUGCUUGUGAGCUUGUCGAGGGGUUGGUCCUGGUUUACAAGCCCACCUCGAAGCACGGGGAGCUGCUGAGGAGCAGCAGAGAGGUGGUGGGAAAUACUGUGUGUCUAGGAAGGAGCUGCUGCCUUGCUGGCCUCAAGGUGUCCCAGGUGGUGGUGGCUUGGGGUGGAAGCUGCUGUGUAAAAGUAACCUAGAGUAAAGCCCUGCCCUGGUGUGUCUGGA
Dromaius novaehollandiae (emu) is the source of this 1830-nucleotide non-coding RNA. Lineage: Eukaryota; Metazoa; Chordata; Aves; Casuariiformes; Dromaiidae. The record is from the annotation of a RefSeq genome assembly.